GUGAAUUCCAUUUUUACAAUUUUUUUCAUCAUGAACAUUUCAGUGUGCUUCUUAGAAAAGAGCACGCAGUUUCGUUAUGGAAUCGUGUGGUCCUGGCACGGAGAUUCUUGUGCCAAUGAUGACCUUUGUUCAUGACGGAAGAGGGACUUCCACCUACGUCCUUCCUUAUCUUCGCGACGCACGCUCAUCUAGCUUCACUGCUUCUUAACACAAUUUGUUUUACUUCACUGGCGACUUGGCGAGUUUCUGGACCACCUCAUGAUCGCUUCCGUCCGCUGUUACACACCUGCUGUCACUCACCACGGAUUAUGCCCAGGUAACGCAGAGGAGACGUCGAGAAGAUGGAUCGUACCAAAACAUCUCCGUUAUCUCCAAAAUGUCAGCGCGGAUCAUCAUUUGUUGUUGGUAAUAUUUGUGUUUGU
This is a long non-coding RNA of Daphnia pulicaria, 422 nucleotides long. RefSeq lists it as uncharacterized. The transcript is spliced from 3 exons. The record is from RefSeq and is a predicted model, not a curated record. Lineage: Eukaryota; Metazoa; Arthropoda; Branchiopoda; Diplostraca; Daphniidae.